This 506-nucleotide ribosomal RNA is filed under the name uncultured bacterium. Its description in RNAcentral is "partial 16S ribosomal RNA". It matches the Rfam family "Bacterial small subunit ribosomal RNA", at positions 28 to 523 of the family's 1533-position model. The record is from RNAcentral.
GAUGAACGCUAGCUACAGGCUUAACACAUGCAAGUCGAGGGGUAACGAGAGGAAAGCUUGCUUUCCUUGUCGACGACCGGCGCACGGGUGAGUAACGCGUAUCCAACCUGCCCCCAACUAGGGAAUAACCUUGCGAAAGUAAGACUAAUACCCUAUAAUUUCCUCAGAUGUCAUCUGACGAGGAAUAAAGAUUUAUCGGUUGUGGAUGGGGAUGCGUCUGAUUAGCUUGUUGGCGGGGUAACGGCCCACCAAGGCAACGAUCAGUAGGGGUUCUGAGAGGAAGGUCCCCGACAUUGGAACCGAGACACGGUCCGAACGCCUACGGGAGGCAGCAGUGAGGAAUAUUGGUCAAUGGGCGGAAGCCUGAACCAGCCAAGUAGCGUGCAGGAUGACGGCCCUAUGGGUUGUAAACUGCUUUUAUACAGGAAUAAAGUUAGCCACGUGUGGUUAUUUGUAGGUACUGUAUGAAUAAGGACCGGCUAAUUCCGUGCCAGCCGCCGCAGUAA